UGAAAAAGAAGUUGAAUAAAGGUGGCAUGUUAGUGGUGUAUAUGAUAUUGCAUGGUGUUGAGAAAGUGGACAAAGGGUUUCCCCCACAUCCCCCCUCUCAAAAUAGUAGAACCUAAUGGGGCCAUGCAAUUGAAGAUUCAGGAGAGAUAAAAAGGAGAAUUGUACCACGCGGUGCACAGUCAGAAUAUGGGAUUUUUUUCCAUAAAGUGUGACAAUGGCCACCAAUUUAGAUUGGAUUAGACACAUUCUGCAACGGCUACUUGUUAGGGUGGCUGGAUUUUAUCUCCAGGAUCAGAGAUAUCAGGCUUCUGAAUCCCACUUCCUUAGGAACCACAGUAUGAGAGGGCUUGUCUCUUCCUUGUGGGCUUCCCAUAGACACCUGGUAAGCCAUCGUGGGCAACUGGAUGUUGGACUAGGAAGCAGGGCUCUUCCUAUGUUCCUUUGUUAUGAGGAGCAGAAUAAAAUGCUCUAACCGGGCAAGAUUUUUAAAAGCCUGCCAGUGAGAACCUAUCAACAGGGCUGGAUGUUUGUGUUGCAAUUUUGGUGCAUGACAUUUCCUAAAGAAAUGUGCCUCCUCUUAAGUAGGAACGGAAGUGACCUAAGUGCUCCCUCCAAAGUGCUAUUUUGUUUGAACAUUCUCUCUAGCCCUUUCCCAACAUCCUAGAAGGCAAUGCUUUUAAAAGUCUCAUCAGGUGUGAGGAAGGGAAAGGAGAGAGAAUGCACAAUUAGCUUGUUCUUCCUGUUCCCCAUUGUUCUCCAAAAUAGAUCUUGCACCAGGAAGCAAAGAUUCAGGCUGGCACCAUACCUGGGAUGGUGGACUUACAGGUUGACUGUAAUUCAUGCAUCCCCCAGAAAUGUGGUGGAACAGAGAGUGAGACAGACAAGAUGGCAGAGAGUGAGAGAACUACAUAGUCCUGCAGACUUCACUCACUUUGGUCCAUGGCUCUGCCUAGUUGACUUUCUAUAACCCAGCAGCCCUUCAUAGGAAAAGGUUCUCCAUUUCUACCUUACACCUUGUCCAUAGGGAGAUGCACAAGAUCAAAUAUGGAGAGAAGUGUUAAAAAGGAAACUUGAGUUGCUGGAAUGGAAGCCAUUGUACUUUCACCCAACCGGUGAACUAUAGUCUACCUAUGGAGUGCAAAUGGAAAAGGGAAUUCCCACCCCUAGGUGCCUUCUCUAACUUGCUUAGAAUCAUUUCUCCCAAAAUACUGUAGGUAACCUCACCCUCUGGAGAUUUCUGAUGAAAGUUACUGCUUUGAAUGAGUUUCUCCAACCAAUUUUCUUGGGCUAGGCAGGGUUUGCAGGAACAUGGAGUUCAGGUCUCUUGAAAAGAUGUAGUUAGUUGAUCAAAACAUUAUGGUGCUUGAAGCAAUCCCCCAUUUUGCCCCAGUGUACUAAGAGAAACUACCUAAAGGAAAGAAGUUGCAUGUAAGUGGACUGCUGUGUAUAACAGACAAGGUAACAUCAUUCAGCAAAGCACCACAACUUAUUACUCAAAGGAGACAAAGGGAUAUUUUUCUUUUAUUCACAAAAAGCUUUUACCAGCACAAGUACAACAGAAUGGCAGCUUCUUAUUGUAUUGGAGUGGCGUAGAUUCUGAGUGUGCACAUUAAAAACACAUAACUUGGUAGGAGGGCAAAUUUAAGUAUCUAAACAACUUCCAGAUUUUUUUAAAAUAGCUAGUUGCUAAAUGUCAUGUGCCUGCAAAGGCUUGUAGGUAUGUUGAUGAUUUAGGGUCAGCGCGAGAUUCUGAGAAGUUCAGUCUUCUGUGCCUUGGUAUCUGGUGCUGUUUCUCAAUGAGCAACAACCAAAUAAACAGUGCAAAACAU
Long non-coding RNA from Podarcis raffonei (Aeolian wall lizard), 1829 nucleotides. RefSeq lists it as uncharacterized. The record is from RefSeq and is a predicted model, not a curated record. NCBI's taxonomy places the organism in Eukaryota, Metazoa, Chordata, Lepidosauria, Squamata, Lacertidae. The transcript is spliced from 2 exons.